GAUAACACUUAGAAAUAGGUGCUAAUACCGCAUAAGCGCACGAAGCCGCAUGGAUUUGUGUGAAAAACUCCGGUGGUGUAAGAUGGACCCGCGUCUGAUUAGCUUGUUGGCGGGGUAACGGCCCACCAAGGCGACGAUCAGUAGCCGGCCUGAGAGGGUGGACGGCCACAUUGGGACUGAGACACGGCCCAAACUCCUACGGGAGGCAGCAGUGGGGGAUAUUGGACAAUGGGGGGAACCCUGAUCCAGCGACGCCGCGUGAGUGAAGAAGUAUUUCGGUAUGUAAAGCUCUGUCAGCAGGGAAGAAAGAAAUGACGGUACCUGACCAAGAAGCCCCGGCUAACUACGUGCCAGCAGCCGCGGUAAUACGUAGGGGGCAAGCGUUAUCCGGAAUUACUGGGUGUAAAGGGAGCGUAGACGGUUAAGUAAGUCUGGAGUGAAAGGCCGGGGCUCAACCCCGGGACUGCUCUGGAAACUAUUUAACUUGAGUGCAGGAGAGGUAAGCGGAAUUCCUAGUGUAGCGGUGAAAUGCGUAGAUAUUAGGAGGAACACCAGUGGCGAAGGCGGCUUACUGGACUGUAACUGACGUUGAGGCUCGAAAGCGUGGGGGAGCAAACAGGAUUAGAUACCCUGGUAGUCCACGCCGUAAACGAUGAUUACUAGGUGU
Molecule: ribosomal RNA, 667 nt
Filed under: uncultured bacterium
Lineage: Bacteria
Description: bacterial SSU rRNA
Rfam family: Bacterial small subunit ribosomal RNA
Source: RNAcentral